AUAAGCGGAGGAAAAGAAACGCAACAGGGAUUGCCUCAGUAACGGCGAGUGAAGCGGCAACAGCUCAAAUUUGAAAUCUGGCCCCCCGGGUCCGAGUUGUAAUUUGCAGAGGAUGCUUUUGGCGCGGUGCCUUCCGAGUUCCCUGGAACGGGACGCCAUAGAGGGUGAGAGCCCCGUACGGUUGGACACCAAGCCUGUGUAAAGCUCCUUCGACGAGUCGAGUAGUUUGGGAAUGCUGCUCAAAAUGGGAGGUAUAUUUCUUCUAAAGCUAAAUACCGGCCAGAGACCGAUAGCGCACAAGUAGAGUGAUCGAAAGAUGAAAAGCACUUUGAAAAGAGGGUUAAACAGCACGUGAAAUUGUUAAAAGGGAAGCGCUUGUGACCAGACUUGCGCCCGGUGAAUCACCCAGCUCUCGCGGCUGGGGCACUUUGCCGGCUCAGGCCAGCAUCAGCUCGCCGUCGGGGACAAAAGCUUCGGGAACGUAGCUCUCUUCGGGGAGUGUUAUAGCCCGCUGCACAAUACCCUUCGGCGGGCUGAGGUACGCGCUCCGCAAGGAUGCUGGCGUAAUGGUCAUCAGCGACCCGUCUUGAAACACGGACCAAGGAGUCAACCUUAUGUGC
Molecule: ribosomal RNA, 620 nt
Filed under: Colletotrichum gloeosporioides
Lineage: Eukaryota; Fungi; Ascomycota; Sordariomycetes; Glomerellales; Glomerellaceae
Description: LSU rRNA
Rfam family: Eukaryotic large subunit ribosomal RNA
Source: RNAcentral